This 565-nucleotide long non-coding RNA is filed under the name Phasianus colchicus (ring-necked pheasant). RNAcentral's name for it is "lncRNA (ENSPCLG00000013943.1)". The record is from RNAcentral. Lineage: Eukaryota; Metazoa; Chordata; Aves; Galliformes; Phasianidae.
UAUAGGGUGUGGGGAGGGAUAUGGGGUAUAGGGGGGGAUAUAUGGGGGAUAAAUGGGGUGGAAUGCCAGCAAUCCCAAAGCAGUUUUUGUUCCCCCCCCCACCCCCAUCCCCCAUCCAGGUUUCAUCAGGCGGACCCACAGCAGUGGGGCAAAACCCACAGAGCUCUCCAUAGGGCUUCUAUGGGGUGGGAUGGGGCUGCCCUAUAUGGGACGGGGCCGCCCUAUAUGGGAUGGGGGGGGGGGGGGGGAUUUGGGGGGGGUUGGGGGGUUGCAGGAGCUCCAUGCUGUGCAAUGCUGGCAUUAAACUGCUGCAGGAUGGCGUGGGUUGUUUGCAGUGUGUGCAAAGGGGGGGGUUGCAAAUGGGUUUGGGGUUUGCAGCUGCAUUUUGGGGGCUGCAGGGUGUUUGCAACCUGAGCUCUGGGUUUGCAGAUGGGUUUGGGGUUUGCAGCUGCGUUUGGGGUCUGCAGGGUGUUUGCAACCUGAGCUCUGGGUUUGCUGCUGCAUUUUGGGGUUUGCAGGUGCUCUUUGGGUUUUGCACACUGUUUGCAAUGCAUGCUUGGGAUUU